This 230-nucleotide ribosomal RNA is filed under the name uncultured bacterium. RNAcentral describes it as "partial 16S ribosomal RNA". It matches the Rfam family "Bacterial small subunit ribosomal RNA", at positions 562 to 791 of the family's 1533-position model. The record is from RNAcentral.
AAAGGGUCCGUAGGCGGUUUGGUAAGUCAGUGGUGAAAGCCCAUCGCUCAACGGUGGAACGGCCAUUGAUACUGCCAGACUUGAAUUAUUAGGAAGUAACUAGAAUAUGUAGUGUAGCGGUGAAAUGCUUAGAGAUUACAUGGAAUACCAAUUGCGAAGGCAGGUUACUACUAAUGGAUUGACGCUGAUGGACGAAAGCGUGGGUAGCGAACAGGAUUAGAUACCCCAGU